RNAcentral lists this ribosomal RNA (585 nucleotides) under uncultured bacterium. Its description in RNAcentral is "bacterial SSU rRNA". It matches the Rfam family "Bacterial small subunit ribosomal RNA", at positions 102 to 683 of the family's 1533-position model. The record is from RNAcentral.
ACGGGUGAGUAAUGUAUCGGAACAUGUCCGGAAGUGGGGGAUAACGUAGCGAAAGUUACGCUAAUACCGCAUAUGCCCUGAGGGGGAAAGGUGGGGAUCGUAAGACCUAUCGCUUUCGGAGUGGCCGAUAUCAGAUUAGCUAGUUGGUGGGGUAAAGGCCUACCAAGGCGACGAUCUGUAGCUGGUCUGAGAGGACGACCAGCCACACUGGGACUGAGACACGGCCCAGACUCCUACGGGGGGCAGCAGUGGGGAAUUUUGGACAAUGGGGGCAACCCUGAUCCAGCCAUGCCGCGUGAGUGAAGAAGGCCUUCGGGUUGUAAAGCUCUUUCGGACGGAAAGAAAUCGCCAUUUCUAAUACAAGUGGUGGAUGACGGUACCGUCAUAAGAAGCACCGGCUAACUACGUGCCAGCAGCCGCGGUAAUACGUAGGGUGCGAGCGUUAAUCGGAAUUACUGGGCGUAAAGCGUGCGCAGGCGGUUUUGUAAGACAGGUGUGAAAUCCCCGGGCUUAACCUGGGAACUGCAUUUGUGACUGCAAGGCUAGAGUGUGGCAGAGGGGGGUAGAAUUCCACGUGUAGCAGUG